AUGAUCUACUGCCACUUGGUUCCAGCUACUACAGGAGAACACACAAGAGCAAAAUAUGCACCUAUACCUGCUUCUGUCCUAUUUGAAGUAGCUAAGCACUUAAGGAGAAGUGUAAGCUCAUCAGAAUGCCAUAUGGAGCCAACAGAAACCAUAAAAGGGUUUUCAGGAAGCAGUGCAUGGAAGUUCAUUAAGUGAACAACACUACAAUCAACAUCCUGAUUUAAAACUCUACCGCCACUAAUAAAUUGCACAGGUACGUUACCUGCAUCAGAUUCAGCGCUAUUCCAGGUCGAUGAUGAAGGAUCCAUGUCCCCAAGAAGCAGGGGAAAUAACAUAUUCUCCGUAAACAUAAUGAAGUUAAUGAUUCACAUGACAGUUAAAUAGCUUUCAGAAAUCUUAUCAGUUUAGAGAUAAAGCAGACCAAGGCAAUAAGUGUAUUUUAAUCAUUCCUGCUAUUGAAAACACUGUGACUAAAAGCUGGCUUCCAGCAGCCUAUAAAUGAUAUUUCCGUAGAAAAUGGGGGAGGAGGAGGUGAAAGAAAUGUCAACAGUUCAUAUUUUAGUUUUAUAUUUGGGAAGAGCUCUUUCUCCAAAUAUCUCAGUUAAAAAUAAUUUCUAAAAAGAGAUUUGAGAAACCAAGAUAUCAUCACAUUUUUUCCUUGUAUAAAUUUAGCCUAAUUGUCUUAUUUUUAUUUUUAAAUGCAAGAAUAAAACACCAAACCAUAAAAGUAAUACCACCAUCUGAGAUUUUAACAAUUAAAUCUACAAAAUCUGUCAUAGUUUAAAGAAAUAAUUGCUUACUUCUGCUUGCAAAUGCUUCUUUCCUAAGCCAACAUAAACAAGGAAAAAAUCAGCUACAACAGGAAUGAGGAAUAAUAUAUACAUAAUGAUAUAAUGACCUUUCAAUUAACAAGCACAGUAUUCCCAAUGCAAUGAAGAAUCUGGCCAUUAAAUUCAAAUCAUUAUUAUACAGAGUUUGCACUGCUCGAAUGGUCAGACUGCACAUCUUAUUUACAAAUGGAAACAGGCCAAAAAUGUUAUGAACCUCUACAUACAUGACAUUUCCAAUAUUACAAAAGUAAUCCAUCAGAAAGUAACAAUCAAGAAUGCCCACAAGUUGCCUGACUCUUCUGGAAGUAUCCUGGUGGGCUUGUAACUGAUUACAUCAUUAGGAAUUCACCCU
This 1182-nucleotide long non-coding RNA is filed under the name Callithrix jacchus (white-tufted-ear marmoset). Its description in RNAcentral is "lncRNA (ENSCJAG00000083994.1)". The record is from RNAcentral. Lineage: Eukaryota; Metazoa; Chordata; Mammalia; Primates; Cebidae.